This 664-nucleotide ribosomal RNA is filed under the name uncultured Actinomycetes bacterium. RNAcentral describes it as "bacterial SSU rRNA". It matches the Rfam family "Bacterial small subunit ribosomal RNA", at positions 729 to 1395 of the family's 1533-position model. Lineage: Bacteria; Bacillati; Actinomycetota; Actinomycetes. The record is from RNAcentral.
CUGGGCCAAUACUGACACUGAGGAGCGAAAGUCUGGGGAGCGAACAGGAUUAGAUACCCUGGUAGUCCAGACCGUAAACGGUGGGCACUAGUUGUGGGGACCUUCCACGGUUUCUGCGACGCAGCUAACGCAUUAAGUGCCCCGCCUGGGGAGUACGAUCGCAAGAUUAAAACUCAAAGGAAUUGACGGGGCCCCGCACAAGCAGCGGAGCAUGCGGCUUAAUUCGACGCAACGCGAAGAACCUUACCAAGGCUUGACAUAUAGGGAAAAGUGGCAGAGAUGUCAUGUCCGCAAGGGCCCUAUACAGGUGGUGCAUGGUUGUCGUCAGCUCGUGUCGUGAGAUGUUGGGUUAAGUCCCGCAACGAGCGCAACCCUCGUUCUGUGUUGCCAGCAUUUAGUUGGGGACUCACAGGAGACUGCCGGGGUUAACUCGGAGGAAGGUGGGGAUGACGUCAAAUCAUCAUGCCCCUUAUGUCUUGGGCUGCACGCAUGCUACAAUGGCUGGUACAAAGGGCUGCAGCACUGCAAAGUGGAGCGAAUCCCAAAAAGCCAGUCUCAGUUCGGAUUGGGGUCUGCAACUCGACCCCAUGAAGUCGGAGUUGCUAGUAAUCGUAGAUCAGCAACGCUACGGUGAAUACGUUCCCGGGGCUUGUACACACCGCCC